Molecule: long non-coding RNA, 2375 nt
Filed under: Zea mays
Lineage: Eukaryota; Viridiplantae; Streptophyta; Magnoliopsida; Poales; Poaceae
Description: long non-coding RNA (ZMAY_LNC004272)
Source: RNAcentral
CCGCAGCCUCAGCGCCAAGGGCCAUGCCUUGGGGUCGGGAUGGUUUGUCGUGCCGUGCCAUGCUUCGCAGUGGGAUCACCGAUCGUCGGGCGUAAGCGGAGUACCAGAGUAAGCUCAUAGGAGUUGAAGGGCAACGCCACGCCGUGGACCGGAUCAAUCAUCGUGGCACUCACCGGUAAAACCCCAAAACUUAGUUCGCUUUGCUUUCCACAUUGAUUAUCUGAGGUUUAUACUGGAUGUGGAGCGCUAGGGCGGCGUCGGGCCAUGCACAUCAAAGGCGCCGCCGCGGGAAUAGGUUCUGCCCUAGUCGCUGACAUCGUGUUUUGGGGAAUCGUCGUGAGCUGUCAAUCUCUUGAUCAACACCUAGUAUUAGAUUUCGUAUAAUGGUAUGAUCAAGGGAUCUACGCCAUUGACCGAGAAACGUGAGGUGUUGGUCAGGCAUCGGGUCUCAUAAAACUGGAUCCGCCCGAUAUAGAUCUAAGGGCCUAGAUUAGAUGAGGUUGUGGAGCGUAGCGAGCCAUUGAUCAUUGUCACACCCAGUUUUAAAAGGCAAACCGAAUGCGAACCAUGUACGUGCCAGGAUCAGAAACUCACGUACACAGUGAUUACAUAGUUGGACAUCAUCACACAUUGCUCAAAAUAUUAGAGGGGAUAGUACUUUAUUACAUCAAGAUGUCCAAGACAUCCACAGAGUCAUUAACUUAAGUCAUAGCCAUAAUCAAAGUGCGGAUAUGAAACAUAGAAUGAUAAGGCCUUCAUAGGCAGCUGACUCGAGGUUUGCCACUAAACAUGACUAGAAGAGAAAGGCCACCAGCCCAACACCUCAGGAGGAGGAGUUGGAUCACGAGAUCAGGGAUCUAGAAGCCAUUCAUCAGCAAGUACAAAGGAAGAAAGAAAAGAUGUUUCAACUAGCUGACCUUCAGAGGAAGAUCGACGAAGCAGCUGAGGAAAUGCAUCAUCUCACUCAGGAUGACUGUCGGUACCCUGAAACUAGGGUACCCCUUACUACCGUAUGAAGACGCAGUACCCACGUGGCUAUCUUUAGUCGCGUGGUAAAGGAGCUGUACGUGGGACCAGGCCAUGACUCGCCCCAGCCUCGGGCGACUACUUUGGGCCAGCAACAGCACCUGACCCCACCACGUGGGCGGCUCCGGGGCCGCCACGUGUCCAGAGAAAGUGAUAUACUCCAAGGCAUCAACAGUGAGUCCGGACCCCCAUGGGAAAGUGUCGGACCCCUGGAUAUACAGUCGGACCUCCAAGUUGGUCUAGGACCCCCACGUGUACAGACCGGACCCCUAGAAUGGGAUCCGAACCCCCUCCGUAUGGGGUCCGGGCCGCCCACAGUAGGGUCCCAAGGUUCCAGGAUAGAACACACAUGGGCCUUAAUUAGGGCCCAGGCGGGGGUCCGGAGCUGACAUGUGUCCAAACCUGGUCUGGUGUGAUCCAGACCUAUCCGUAUACACUCCCGCUCCCCGCUCAGGCAGAGACCCGAUGCUGCCACAUGGCAUACUACGCGUGGCAUAAGCCAACGGACGGAACCUGACAUGACGCCUCUGGACUACGCGCGCCCUCGUAUUCAUAAGACAUGCGCCUGUCCAUCCCACUGACAGGCGGCGUGCUCAGUCCACGAUACAUGGGUCGUGCAGUUACCCACACGUUACCGUAUCGAGGGCAAUGACUCACCAUUACUCGUACGGUAACUGCCCAUCAAUGCGGCAUGGAUUACAGACAUCAUGACUCCCGCUGAUUACUCAUGUGUUACUCUGUCCGCAUUAGUUAUUCACAUAAUGUAUUUCUUCCAUUAUGCUCCAGGCCCACAUGUCGGGGCUCAGCAUCUUUGUAUGCGCCUCCCUUAAACUAUAAAAGGGAAGGCACACAGUGUUACAGGGGACAGACUCAAUCACACGGUCAAUUACACUCUCAAUACUACUUACACACAGUGGAGGUAGGGUAUUACACUCCGGCGGCCUGAACCACUAUAAUCCCUUGUGUCCUCGUGUGUUCAUCCCAAAUCAUCCAGACAGGCAAACCGCUUAGGCCCCCUUCUCAUCUUAGGAUUAGGGUGGGUGCAUUCGGCCACCCGGCCGGUGGAUUUCCCCACCGACAUUUGGUGCGCCAGGUAGGGGUCGAACCUAGAGCAUCUUUGUAAGUUCUACCCAUAAAAGCAAAACUGGGAUGGUUGAGUUUUCUUCCUUUGUAACUAGGUUGCGCAUAUGUGUAUGUCAAUCCCGUGAGGUCCGCCCUCGUAAGCCCGGUCUGUUGGUCUACACCCAUGUAUAUCAAGUUAUAAGGAAAUGAUUUACCUCCCAGAUGUGCUUUUGUGAUGGUUUCAUUCUACUUCAGUUUACAAGCAUUAUUUUUUAUCAAACCCGCCC